AAGUUUCUGCGGUGUACGUUAACUCAGGUAAUUCAACCGACAUAACAGACACGGGAGUCUGAGUUUAGUAUGGUAUAGCAAGCCUUCUUAGAAAGGAAGCUAAAAAUUACUAACAGGAUGCCCACCUUUAUACAGGCGGGUGUGAAUUAAAUGGGAAGACGGCAUUGCGGGAGUGUA
This 177-nucleotide non-coding RNA is filed under the name Tissierella simiarum. Its description in RNAcentral is "Tissierella sp. MSJ-40 6S RNA". It matches the Rfam family "6S / SsrS RNA". Rfam says of the family: E. coli 6S RNA was the first non coding RNA to be sequenced, but its function was unknown until recently. It consists of 184 nucleotides that fold into an extended hairpin structure with a large single-stranded internal bulge. Lineage: Bacteria; Bacillati; Bacillota; Tissierellia; Tissierellales; Tissierellaceae. The record is from RNAcentral.